Small nuclear RNA from Manis javanica (Malayan pangolin), 109 nucleotides. NCBI's taxonomy places the organism in Eukaryota, Metazoa, Chordata, Mammalia, Pholidota, Manidae. The record is from RefSeq and is a predicted model, not a curated record.
GUGCUCACUUCAGCAGCAUAUACACUAAAAAAAUUGGAAUAAUACACAGAAGAUUAGCAUGGCCCCAUGCAAGGUCGACAUGCUAAUUCAUGAAACAUUCAUAUGAAAA